This 84-nucleotide microRNA precursor is filed under the name Bombyx mori (domestic silkworm). RNAcentral's name for it is "mir-2807 microRNA precursor family". It matches the Rfam family "mir-2807 microRNA precursor family". Lineage: Eukaryota; Metazoa; Arthropoda; Insecta; Lepidoptera; Bombycidae. The record is from Rfam by way of RNAcentral.
UUAACUCAAAUGUGUAUGUAGUUGGAACGUAUGCCUACGUUUGCCGCUAGGGGCGCUGUUUCAACGGCAUACCAAUUGGAGUUA